CAGUGUUUCAGCUCUUUGAACUGUGUCUUGCAAGGUUUUUUCUAUGUAGAAAACAAGUCUCCA
RNAcentral lists this small nuclear RNA (63 nucleotides) under Strix occidentalis caurina (northern spotted owl). RNAcentral describes it as "U7 small nuclear RNA (ENSSOCG00000003586.1)". It matches the Rfam family "U7 small nuclear RNA". From Rfam's summary of the family: Animal histone pre-mRNAs are spliced by a different mechanism than nuclear pre-mRNAs and self-splicing introns. This processing involves the U7 snRNP, which contains only one RNA species: U7. The record is from Rfam by way of RNAcentral. Lineage: Eukaryota; Metazoa; Chordata; Aves; Strigiformes; Strigidae.